GUCCUCAUAGUUCAACUGGAUAGAACGGGGGCGUCCUAAGCCUUUGAUAGUGGUUCGAGUCCACUUGAGGACACCA
This 76-nucleotide transfer RNA is filed under the name Patescibacteria group bacterium. RNAcentral describes it as "tRNA-Arg". It matches the Rfam family "tRNA". Rfam says of the family: Transfer RNA (tRNA) molecules are approximately 80 nucleotides in length. Their secondary structure includes four short double-helical elements and three loops (D, anti-codon, and T loops). The record is from RNAcentral.